GACGAACGCUGGCGGCGUGCUUAACACAUGCAAGUCGAGGGCACUAUUGGGGGCAACCUGGUAGUGACCGGCGAACGGGUGCGUAACACGUGAGCGACCUUGCCUCGUGGGUGGGGGAUAGCCGGCCCAACGGCCGGGUAAUACCGCAUAUGGUAGUUUCUUCGCAUGAGGAGACUAGCAAAGCCUUGGAGCAAUCCAAUGG
This 202-nucleotide ribosomal RNA is filed under the name uncultured bacterium. RNAcentral's name for it is "partial 16S ribosomal RNA". It matches the Rfam family "Bacterial small subunit ribosomal RNA", at positions 28 to 215 of the family's 1533-position model. The record is from RNAcentral.